GCAUUAGCAGCUCAUGCUUCAGCGCUCUGCGAGUGUUUAUAGCCCUGUGACUUUAACACUUCAUGACUGAGAGCUGCUGCUCAGCGACUUCACCCACAGCAACCAUGAGUUUGAUCAGCGUCUUCAUCUGCACACUGGCCCUCUGCGCUCGAGGAUCCAGAGGUCAGGUGACUGUGACUCAGAGUCCUGCAGUGAAAUCAGUUUCUCCAGGAGACACAGUCACCAUCAGCUGUAAAACCAGUACUCCUGUUUUCUUUGCUAGUAAUUUUGAUUGUUUGUCCUGGUAUCAGCAGAAACCUGGAGAAGCUCCUAAACUCCUGAUCUAUGCUGCUAACAGUAGAGAAUCAGGUGUUCCAGAUCGUUUCAGUGGCAGUGGGUAUGCAACUGAUUUCACUCUGACCAUCAGUGGAGUCCAGACUGAAGAUGUUGGAGAUUAUUACUGUCAGAGUUACCAUAGUGGUAACGUGUUCACACAGUGUUAGAGCGUCGUACAAAAACCUGUGUGAGUGUGACUGCUGCAGCUGGGACCUACUGCAG
Non-coding RNA from Clarias gariepinus (North African catfish), 537 nucleotides. The record is from the annotation of a RefSeq genome assembly. Lineage: Eukaryota; Metazoa; Chordata; Actinopteri; Siluriformes; Clariidae.